Molecule: transfer RNA, 85 nt
Filed under: Kushneria sinocarnis
Lineage: Bacteria; Pseudomonadati; Pseudomonadota; Gammaproteobacteria; Oceanospirillales; Halomonadaceae
Description: Kushneria sp. Z35 tRNA
Rfam family: tRNA
About the family: Transfer RNA (tRNA) molecules are approximately 80 nucleotides in length. Their secondary structure includes four short double-helical elements and three loops (D, anti-codon, and T loops).
Source: Rfam by way of RNAcentral
GCCGGUGUGGCGAAAUUGGUAGACGCAGCGGAUUCAAAAUCCGCCGGGCUAAUACCCCGUGUCGGUUCGAGUCCGACCACCGGCA